Molecule: ribosomal RNA, 450 nt
Filed under: uncultured bacterium
Lineage: Bacteria
Description: partial 16S ribosomal RNA
Rfam family: Bacterial small subunit ribosomal RNA
Source: RNAcentral
AUGAACGCUGGCGGCGUGCCUAACACCUGCAGGUCGAGCGGCAGCGAGGGGUGCUUGCACCCUGUCGGCGAGCGGCGGACGGCUGAGUAACGCGUGGGAACGUGCCCCAAAGUGAGGAAUAACUGCCCGAAAGGGUAGCUAAUACCGCAUAUUAUCUUCGGAUCAAAGGAUUUAUCCGCUUUGGGAGCGGCUCGCGUCGGAUUAGGUAGUUGGUGAGGUAAUGGCUCACCAAGCCGACGAUCCGUAGCUGGUCUGAGAGGAUGACCAGCCAGACUGGAACUGAGACACGGUCCAGACUCCUACGGGAGGCAGCAGUGAGGAAUCUUCCACAAUGGGCGAAAGCCUGAUGGAGCAACGCCGCGUGCAGGACGAAGGCCUUCGGGUUGUAAACUGCUUUUAUAAGUGAGGAAUAUGACGGUAACUUAUGAAUAAGGAUCGGCUAACUACGUG